GAAAAAAAAAAUAUUUGAAAAGAAGAUAAAAAAAAAUUGGGGUUAAUCUAAGGGAGCAUUGACCCAAAAAUGCAAAUCUUUCUUUAAAGCAGCUCCAUUAUUAAUGGAAGUAGAUUUUGCUGGUCUUUUUGUCAGAACUGAAGUGAACUGGGUCUGAUUUGAAUGAAUAUUCUAUCAGUUCUAGUUCUGUUGCUUGCCUGAAUCUUACAGAUCACUCAAAGUUUGAAUAGUAAGGUAUUUAUCUGUUUCUAUAAAUGCUUUGAUUGGAGGGAAAACGAAACCCUUUUUGUCAUCUAAGCUUCAAUUUGUGCUACUUCUUAUUGGCAAGCUUUGAGAAAAGAGGAAAGAAGAGCUGAAUUAUGCUGCAGAAGGGGUAAGGGGAUUUAGAAUCCGACAAAGAUUGUAAGGAUAUUGAUGGACUACGCUAUUCUCUGAGGGCUUCCGGUUUUGUUGACAGGACACCAACAUGGUGAAUCACUGGUCUGAGCCUCAUCCACCUGAGAGCGACAUUCAGAACUCUAUCUGGACUGUGAAUAAUUCCGCUGCAGCACACCUAUUUGGUUGUUUUGCCAUAACACCUAUAAUUCUGUGAAUAGUACUUGUUUGUCGCAGAUAGACAAUUUUUAGUUUUCUGAAUUUGUAAGGAUUUCUUAAUGCAUUGAUGUUGAAAUAAUAUCACUUUGGUGACCGGUGUACUUGAAUGCAAAUAAUAACACUCAGACUUCUUAAUGCAAAUUUGUUUUGGGUAGAAGGAAUAGUUUGUCCAAAAGUUUCUGCCUGACGUUAUAUUGUGAAGUUGUAAUUAUAAUAUUGCUCUUCAUUUGGUGCCUUUGACACUUUCUUUUGAUAGCAAUGUACUUUGACGUUGGUUGGAAGGUUGAAGUGUGAUUUGAGUAUUCCUCAAUAAUCACAUUGUUAUUAUUUGUAUUUUAAUAUUCCUCCUCAAUAAUCUAUUUUUUGUUUUGUGGAUCUGCUACGUCAUUUUGAUCUUAUGAAUAAUUAUUUUUCUUUUGUUCAUAGAGAAUGGUGAUACUAUAAAAAAGGAACUAUUUGAUAUCUGUGCUGGUAUCACCCUUCCUUGUAGAGGGCAACAAGUUUAUUAUUUUCCACAAGGAUACAUAGAACAGUUUAUGAAUAAGGAGAUAGAGCUUCCAUUUGAACUUCCAUCUAAAAUCCUUUGUGAAGUGUCGAAUGCUUAUUAUAAGGCUAUACAAAAAACAGACCAAAUUGUUGGAGAAAUAACAUUGGCUCCUCUAACAAAUCGUAGAGAGGUCACUAGUAGCCCAAAUCCUCAACCCUUGGCUGCUGAAAGGCCUGCAGUUCAUUCAUAUCGUAUGAGACUUACUCGUUCCAACGUACAACCACAUGGUACUUUAUCUAUUAAAAAGGAUUUUGCGGAGAAAUGUCUACCUCCAUUGGAAAUCCUUGAGUCACAGGAGGAAGCACAUCAGUACUUGUUUGCAACUGAUCUACAAGGAAAGGAAUGGCGCUUCAAACAUGUUUUUAGG
RNAcentral lists this unclassified non-coding RNA (1508 nucleotides) under Hevea brasiliensis (rubber tree). The record is from RNAcentral. Lineage: Eukaryota; Viridiplantae; Streptophyta; Magnoliopsida; Malpighiales; Euphorbiaceae.